GGUGUGGCAGGCUUACGUAUGGAUGUUCAAGCCAGACAUUGCCAGAAGAACUACAUCUCUUCACCCAUAGAAAAAUGAAUGAUGUGACCAUUUGGUGCAGGACAACAGCAUUAUGUUCACCAGUCUCUGUACUGUAUGUUACUGCACAGCACGGACUGUAGGAAAAAGCCCAGAGGAGCAAUGAAGACAAAGAAGACACGACACCUGCAAAAAGUCAGUGAAGUAUUUCUACACAACAAACCUUCCAGGCUGCCAUGAUCCUCCCUCUGGACCCUGUGGUCAGGGUCGCUGCAGAGAUCCUCCCUUUGGACCCCGCCUGCCUGAAGGGCCCAUACCUUGGUCAGGAGUCUUAGAAGGACUGCCGUGAGCCAUGUCAUAAAAAGGAGAAAACAUCACAUUGGACAGCCCCAAUUCCUGCAUAUACAGACGGGAAACUUAGGUGCACUGCUACUCUGACUCCAAAUACUACAGCACCACAUGCUUCUCAGACUGGUGGAUGCACAGCUCCACUUCUUUGCAGAGAGGAUGCACAACAGCAGAAUAUCCGUGGCCCGACUUUCUGGAGCAUCAGUAUUAC
Molecule: long non-coding RNA, 577 nt
Organism: Diceros bicornis minor
Lineage: Eukaryota; Metazoa; Chordata; Mammalia; Perissodactyla; Rhinocerotidae
Exons: 4
Source: RefSeq, a predicted model, not a curated record